This 396-nucleotide ribosomal RNA is filed under the name uncultured bacterium. RNAcentral describes it as "bacterial SSU rRNA". It matches the Rfam family "Bacterial small subunit ribosomal RNA", at positions 28 to 428 of the family's 1533-position model. The record is from RNAcentral.
GACGAACGCUGGCGGCGUGCUUAACACAUGCAAGUCGAGCGGUAAGGCCCUUUCGGGGGUACACGAGCGGCGAACGGGUGAGUAACACGUGGGUGACCUGCCCUUAGCCCUGGGAUAAGCCUGGGAAACUGGGUCUAAUACCGGAUAUGACUCCAUGACGCAUGUUGUGGGGUGGAAAGCCUUGUGCGGCUAGGGAUGGGCCCGCGGCCUAUCAGCUUGUUGGUGGGGUGAUGGCCACCAAGGCGACGACGGGUAGCCGGCCUGAGAGGGCGACCGGCCACACUGGGACUGAGACACGGCCUAGACUCCUACGGGAGGCAGCAGUGGGGAAUCUUGCGCAAUGGGCGAAAGCCUGACGCAGCGACGCCGCGUGAGGGAUGACGGCCUCGGUUGUAA